Molecule: long non-coding RNA, 2821 nt
Filed under: Erythranthe guttata (spotted monkey flower)
Lineage: Eukaryota; Viridiplantae; Streptophyta; Magnoliopsida; Lamiales; Phrymaceae
Description: long non-coding RNA (EGUT_LNC003362)
Source: RNAcentral
GUCAAAACAAUUUCAAAAAAAAUAUUAUAAUAAAGAAUAAAGAAAUAAGAGAAAAAUAGAAAAGUCUAAAAAGCCCUUCUCCGGAAACCGAAACCUAUUUCUUCUUUCAACAUUUUUUCAGGCCAGCAGACAUUUGGUUCACCUGUCUCUAUAAUUUCCAACCAAUCUCCACUGAAACGACCUUUUUUAAUGAUAGAUAAACCGGAUCGGGUCGGGGGCGAUUGGGAUUGAAAACCACCCGAAACCUUCUCCACACGAACUCAGAUGAAGAUACAGAGGAAGAAAAACCAACAUACAUCAAAACAUUUCAUUUCUCGUCUCCUUGUAUUGGGGAAGAUGAUUCCCCAUUUAUACAUUUUAAUUCAUAAAGUGCUACUAAAAAUAAAGUGCUACUACCUCUACGACAACUUAUAAAAGUGUUAAACCUAUUAUUUAAAUAAAAUGCUAUUUGACUUAAAGAAGUGCUACACCCCUUUUUACGUUUCUUUGUUCCCUUCAAUUUUGGAUCGUUACAAUACUCCUCCCUUAAACCGUCCUUGUCCUCAAGGACCGAGCAAAAUGUAGCUUGUAAUGACGGUCUUGAGACUUGAUCAAAUCCAUUCAAAAUCUGUAACUCACUAUACAAAUUCGAGGUAUACCCAACAAGAGUAUAUAACCGGUAGUGACAGUAGAAUGGCAUGAAACAAGGGCAACAACAAAUUUUUGAGGUGUUGCAAAACGCUUCCUCUAGAACAGUCUUUAUUCCCAAGGUUUGGAGUGGAGUGCUUAUUCGUGAAAUCCUGGAGCCUUGUGGAGGUGGUUCUGGUGGUGGACGAAGCGAUCCCAACCACGCAUUGCUAGUGCGCGGUAACAACUCCAUUUGAGAAUAAGCUUGCCAUAAGAUUAUCAAACCAAUGUUGACCCUUGUAGAUCGAAAAACUUCUUUUGCAUAAUCGUUUGUCCGCAUCCUUAAUACCUCAGGUACCAAUCGAACUGAAAUUACAACACCUUCAAGUAAUUCUACUUCCCAGCCAGAGUCACGUAACAAAUGAAUUGAGCAAUCAUUCACUGUACCAUUUUCAGCCUUCGUUUCCAUACUCUCAUUUUCCUCAUAAAGCUGAUCAAACCGUGCAUUUGACACUUUAAUCAAAGGGGAUUCCUCCUUGCUAUGAAACCUGAAUUUAUCAUGCUCCACUUCAUUUAUCAUCAACGUAUUCUCUUUCUCCAAUACAUUUUCAAAGGAUUCAACAACUGUACUUGACCCUUGAACUUCAAACGCAAAAAUUUUCAUAGAAAGCUCCCUUGUGCAAUUUUCAGUUUCAGUUCCUAUUGACCCUUUCUCCGACAUUUCCUCAAACACAAUCAACUCAUCAAUUUUAUUCACAACAUUUUCAGUAUCAUUUCCCACAUACUUUCUAUUAGGCAUUUCAUCAAACACCACCAACUCACUCAUUGCAAGACUAUCUCCUUCACUAGAUAUAUCAACAGUGGUAUCAACUACCAAGUGUUUAGGAGGAAUCUCAACUACAUAAUCCAUCGAUAAGCUAAAAUCAUUGCUACUUUUAUGGCCAAGAAGAAUUAGGGCAUCUUCCUGCAACUUAGCCAAGCUAACCACCUCAAUCAUAGUCUGAGGUUUAAACAUGCUAAUUUGAAGAGAAAUCUCAGACUUCAAUCCACCCAAAAAAUAACUCACAGCAUAAGUUUCAGGUAAAUCUACAUUCCUCAACAACAAUUCAAAUUUGUCGGCAUAAUCUGUAACAUUUCCUAUUUGUUUCAAAGACGCCAAUUCAUACAUAGGAUCUUCAUAAAGUAGGGACCCAAACCUGUCAUGUAAAGCUCGGAUGUAUUCCUCCCAAUUAAGCGGCUCCCACCUUGCUUUCAUAAAACUCCGAUGCCAUUCCAAGGCCUUUCCAUCUAAAUGCAUCGUCGCUAGUUCCACUCUCCCUUCUGAAGGAGUAUCUUCGAUUUCAAAAAUUUGUUCACAUUUGAACACCCAACUUCGUAGAUUCAGCCCGUUGAAUUUAGGAAAUUCUACCGACGAACAUUUUUUUGGAGGUUGAUAAUCAUGCCCCCACUCUGACCCACGUGGAGUCUCACGAAUUUCUUGCCCGACCGCCCUUGAGGUUUCGACAUGGAGAUCUGUCGAAGUCUGCAACUUAUACAUCCUUAACGACAACGCCGCAAGCAAUUCUUCCAUAAUUUGUUUGUCCCCGCCAUCAACCGAUUGCCUAUUCUCCCUUCCUUGACCCAUCUGUUUGUGCAUCUCUUCGUAUAGACCCUUCGCCAUUUCCCUUUUUUUUUUUUUUUUUUUUUUUUUGAAAUCUAGAGCCGCCGAGGAUCGACGGCUCUGAUACCAAUUGAAACGACCUUUUUUAAUGAUAGAUAAACCGGAUCGGGUCGGGGGCGAUUGGGAUUGAAAACCACCCGAAACCUUCUCCACACGAACUCAGAUGAAGAUACAGAGGAAGAAAAACCAACAUACAUCAAAACAUUUCAUUUCUCGUCUCCUUGUAUUGGGGAAGAUGAUUCCCCAUUUAUACAUUUUAAUUCAUAAAGUGCUACUAGAAAUAAAGUGCUACUACCUCUACGACAACUUAUAAAAGUGUUAAACCUAUUAUUUAAAUAAAAUGCUAUUUGACUUAAAGAAGUGCUACACCCCUUUUUACGUUUCUUUGUUCCCUUCAAUUUUGGAUCGUUACAUCCACUCAGAAAAAAUGUCUCGCCCUCACCCUCCCGCCGCCGCCGCCAUGAAACCACCUCCCCCUCCGCAGCAGCCGAGACCAAUUGUUAUGGCUGACCUCAACGUUGACCCGCCGGAAUCAGACGCCUACGCCUUUUCUAC